UGCCAAAUAAAUCAAUUUUUUAUUCUGGCUUGGUGGGAAAUUUGCCGGCCCUUCCCCUCCUUCCCUUCUAAUCAAAACAACAUUUUGCCCUAGCCCUUUUUCAGACUCUGCAGUGCUUCACCACUCCUAUAAUGUCAUCCCCCUUCUCUACGGCGGCUUACGAAUUUCGUCCGUGAUUCUUCUCUCUCCGAGCAACGGAUAAUCCCACUCUCACUGCUUUCAAGUGUGCUUCACCUCUUUAUUUUUCUCUUUUGCUUUUUCCCCCUCUAUUUCUUCAUCUCCCCCACCUUCUGUAACUUGCAUUUGUUGUUGUUUUGUCUUGAGACUCUCAAGCGAUUUUGGGUAGGCUUCAAAAGCUAAAACCAGUUUUGGCAAAGUUAUCAGUUUUUUUAUGAAGAACUUCGAACCCACAUCCUCAACUUUGGUCAAAUCCCCAAACAUUGCACUACAUAGCGCCCAAAUCCCUAAAAUUUUUGUCUCCCAUCCAACAGAUCCCAUUUCAAUGUUAGAACCUUCCCAUUUUUUUAUUUUUUAUCUAUUCUGUUUUCUGAUCUUAUCCACCAAUUCAGAGAAUUUUAGAGUAAUUUGUACUUCUUUGUUGAAGUAAUAAGAGAAGUAGAAAAAAUAAACUAUUUUAAUGCCUAGUCUUCAUAACUUUUGAUGAUUUUCCAAUUGGAGUUUUAGUUAUCUCUUUUGUAUUCAUGUGGACAUUUAUAAAUUUUUAUUUUUAACUUUUCUUUUGCUAGUUGUCUUUUUUGCACUGAUAUCUCUUCAACUGUAUUUAAUCAUUAGGUUCACCAUGUUUACUCAGUGAUUUGUCACCAGAAUUUGAAGCCAAUUAGUGAAACAUUCAGGCUUAUGAUAACUUUAUGCAUCAAAAUGAAAGAUGUAAAGUUUUCACUUAUUCCCCCCUUUCCAUGUGUGCAAACACAUAUGCCUUGGUUUCUUUUUACUGAGAACUAAGUUUGAUAAAUAAAUCAUGCCUCAAUAUAAUGUUAUAUACUCCUUUUAUUGUAGUUUGAUGGUGCAUAUGGAAUGAUUAAUGAUUUGGAGAAAAUGAAUUUGAAGCCAACAGCUAACAUGUACAAUGCCAUACUGGGAGGGUACUGCAGAGACGUAGUUUCCUUUGUUUCAUCGGAGGCUUUUGCCGUUCCUGUGUUUGUGCAUUUGAUUGUUUAUGAAUGCCCACUGCUUUUUUCUAAUGUUAUUUGAGAAUUAAAGACUAAAAAGUUUUGGUUUUCUUUUAUGCGAUUUAUUCUCAUAUUCAUAUUAGGAGGUACUUUAGAGAGGUAGUUUCCUUUGUUUCAUCAGAUGGUUUUGCCAUUCCUGUGUGUGUUGCACUUGGUUGUUUAUGAAUGCGCACUGCUUUUUUUGUGAUGUUAUUUGAGAAUUAAAGACUAAAAAGUUUUGGUUUUCUAUUAUUUGAUCUAUUCUCAUAUUCACUAUCGUAUUGACUUUCCUAUUGCGUCAAGAUUUGAAAGAAGAGGGCUUUCCUUUCAUUUCAAAAUGUAUUACUUGUUUUAUCUUCUUACCUCUAUGCCCUACCCCCUCCUCCUUCUAUGUAGUAAUCAACACCAGAUAGAAAGUUCUUAGGAAAAUUGAAAAUAACAUACUGUUUGCUAUGAAUGGGCACUGUUUGUUAAGAUUAAGGCUUUUUUUGCUUUUAAGUUGAGUUAUAGUGUCUUCGAGUUGCACGGUUUGUUCAAGCUAUGAUGAGGCUUCAUGUAGCUUAUGUAUGACCUCUAUAAUUGUAAGAUAAGUAUUGGUUUGUAGCUUAGUAAUACUUCCCAUAGUUGCUGGUAUAAAAAGUUGUUUGAUUAUCAGAGAGGAGCAUGGCUAUUAUAUUAGAUAGUUUCAUUGAAUGGUAGCAUACAAUCCUAAAAGGCAAGCUGUGAAACCGGACUUGCCUUUGCUUCCAUCUUAUUAUGUUUCAUUGUAAAUUGUAUUGAUGUUCAUGAUGAUGAAAAAUGUGCAUUGAUAAUUAUUUAAGCUUUAGAUUGAUGGUGGUUUGCAAUCCUAGCAUUCCAUGAAUCUUCAUACUCUUCUUAAUGGAACACUAUGUAAAGAAUAUAUAUGGUGCAAAGAGGGUUCUCAAGCAAAUGGAAGAAGCAGAUUUAAAACUAGAUUCCUUGACUUUCUGUUAUUUACUAAGCAUCUGUGAGUCUGAAGAAGAUAUCAAAAAGGUGCUUGAAAAUCCAUAUUUCAGCCAAAGUUUCUUGUCUAACUUAUAGUCAAAAUUGCAAAGUUUUAUUAAUUUUACUUUUGGUUGUUCAUCCAAUGUUUUAUUACUGAUUUAUUAUUAUUAUUUUCUAACAAAGAGCGAGGAAAAUCCUAAACAUCUUGAGUGAAAGUUGAUUCUUAUGCAACAUGAACAGUAGUAAUGAGUCCAAUAUAAAAUACAUAAAAAAUUAAAAUUAUUACACCAUACAAAAAUUAAUAAUUGGAAGCUACAUUCCAGUGGAAAUUGAGUCUAAGAAAAUGAUUUUUUUCCCCUUCAGUUGUCUGCAAAGAAUACUUAGAAAGAGAGAGAGAGAGAGAGAGAGAGAAGCGAUUUUUCUCUACUUUAGACUGAUCAGAAAUGUUUUGACAUGCAUCAGUUAUUCAAUCAGUGAUUAUAUAUCAAAGAACAAUUUUGUAAAAUUGCUUUUUUGAUUUUAUUCAUUUAUUUUUUUCCCUCUUUCAUGUAAAUUAUAUCUAACUCUUACCUUUUCCUUAUCAAUUAAAGCUUACCUUGGAUAAAAUUUAUCUUAAAAGAUGUUGAUCUGCAUAUCUGUUUGUAGUACCAUGAAGAGAUGAAGUGUUCUGGAAUUGAUGAUAUGAAGCAUGUUUUCAUGGCACUUAUAAAUGCUUAUGCAAGUUUUGGACAGUUUGAGAAAGCAAAACACGUAUUAGCCAUUUGGCAAAUUGAUUAAUAGUAGUUUCAGAUAAGGGUAUUUCUGAUAAAAGCUUGAAUGAAAUUAAUAGUCCACAUGCACAAGCUCUUUUUGAAAAUGGACAGUGGUUUGAUGCACUUGAUAUAUAUAAACAGAUUGGAUCUGCUUUGGAGCCCAAAGCUGUUAUCAGUCUUAUUGUAAGCUCUUUAACUCAGUGGUCUAUGUUUUGUCUUGGAAACAGAAAUGACAUGCUCAUACUCAUUACUUAGGAGCACGUUCCAUCCGAUGGAGAGUUGAGCACAUUGCUCAAACUACUGGACGAAAUAAAUCAUUCAAACUAUUGGGUUGAUGAUUGCUGCAGAGUUAUCUUGUAUUGUGUUUGAUACAACCAUUUAAGGUCCAUUAGCAUUAAAUUUCCAUUUGAAUUAAUUAUUUUUGGCAUUAUCUAGUAUACUUAUUCAUUCAAUUUGAUUUAUCCUGCCAUCAACUUGCUCAAGCAAAUGAGGGAUAAAUUUUGUAACAACGAAUUGGUUCUUGAAGGUUUUUUUAAUGAGGUUUGCUUUUGUUUUGUUCUGUACAUUCAUUGUGUUCACCAUGUCAAUUUUUUACUGCUAUUUAUCUUUCCUACUGCAUUGUAUGACAUGCUGGAAAGCCCCUUUACUUGCUGUUAUGUAUCUUUCCAAAUUUGUAUUCCCUGUGCUUUUGUUUUGUAGUUGCAGCUAUGAAUAGUUUGGAUUAAUACGUUUAAAUAUUUUAUGCAAUGAUUUUUGCAGGCAGGCUAUACGUUUCUGCAUAUUGGACAUGCAUCCCAUUGAGGUUUUGUCUUUUUAAUACAGUUUAGGUGAGAUGUUCUUCCUACUAACCUUUUACCAGAAUUUUGCAUGUUUACAAUUUGGAAACAGAGGCAGAGGAGCAUUUAUUUUGCUAGAAAUGGAGAUUUCGAGGUAAAGGAUAUCCUUGUUUUCAUUCAGCUCCAACUAGUAAUUAAAUUGUGUUUUUUUUUUUUUUUUUUUUUUUUUUUUUUUUUUUUUCCCUCCCUUCUUUCUCUAAUUUUGCAAUGCUGUCAUUCCAACUGUAAUUAGGCCAUUCAAAGUGAAUGAGGCCCAUAAACAAUUUUGCUUAUAGGAAAAUGGGAAAUGACCACAGCAUUGUAUCAUUAAUUUUAUCUACUUUACGUUUAUUCUAAUCUUAUCUGCUUUAUUUUUAUUCCAAUUGAAUUGCAUUAUUUUGUCUCUUCCAUAAUUGACAGUGCAUAUGUCAUUGCAAGAAUGAAGGAUUUAUUUAAAGAGCAUAGCAACCUAAUUUUGGGAUUUAAUAACUUUUUCGCCAAAAGAUUAUGAUAUAAAAGUUGAUGAGGAUGAGAUGCCACCCAAAAAAAAAAAAAAAAAGAAGUUAAAUUUAGAGAAGCUAUCAAUUGUGUAAACUAGAUAAAGGUAAACUAUGUUCUUUUGCUUUUAAAUUAUGAAAUUCCAUUCUUGCUUCCUAGUGCCUUAAUAGAUAUAACCAUUAACCUGUAUAAAUGAUCACAAAAUAAUGAGCAUGUGUACAAUGGAGAUUUAGGAUUGAUGGGUAGAGAAAAACUUUUUGUAUUUAUUCUCUUUUCAACUUGAUAGGCUAUCUCAAGGUGCCUUGUUGAGAGGAAAGUUGCAAAGUUUCAGGAAAAAACAUCAUUAAGAGGGGAUCAUUUAUUGUAUAGAGCUCUGAUUUGCUUUUAAUUAUUUGAUUUGGAAAUUAUAGUUGCUAUUAUUAUUUGUAGCCAGUAAAUGUACGAGGUUGGUUUUUCAUUUGAUUUUGGUUGUUAUUUAAACUUCUUUCAAGUUCAGGAAUUUAAUGACCAAGGUUAAGUUUAAUCGAUUGAGUUCAUGUUCAAAAUUAAUGCAAUGAAGAGUUCAACACAAGAUUUGUCUCCAUCACCAUCCACCAUCGCCAUCACUACUGUUACUUGUAAUUGUUUAUAGAUGAUUUUAUUGCCUAUGUUACACAAAAUGAUUGUUUUAAGUAUGUACUAAUGACAAUUAUAUGCAUGUAAAGACAAUUAUUGUUUUAUAAAUAUUUAAAGCCUUAGCAUUAUAAGAAUUUGCUAAUUUGCUUUAUA
Ziziphus jujuba (common jujube) is the source of this 4968-nucleotide RNA transcript. It is a transcript of the gene named pentatricopeptide repeat-containing protein At4g21880, mitochondrial-like, with no coding region annotated. The record is from RefSeq and is a predicted model, not a curated record. NCBI's taxonomy places the organism in Eukaryota, Viridiplantae, Streptophyta, Magnoliopsida, Rosales, Rhamnaceae. The transcript has 2 exons.